UUCGAUUCCCCAAUCCCCACUUCCCCGUCUCUUCCACGGACCCCCAAAAAAUCCCAAAUUGCCGGCGGAACCCUAGCUCUGGUGCUACUGCCACCUCCACCGGCGGAAUCGGCGGCGGCUCCUUCCCGGCGCCACACCUCGGAGGUUGCGCUGCUCGGCCCGUCCCCGUCGCGUCCUUCCUCCGGCUACACCUUCAGGAUUUCGCGCCGCUCUCGUCCGAGGGCUUUGCACCGUCCUCUUACCUCUGUGCACAUGUGUUAUCCGUUCAUGUGCAAAGCAGGACGAUUACACCAUCAACGGGUGUCGGACAUGGACUCUUCCACCCUCCUUUGCCAGUGUUGUGUCAUGCUCGAGCAUGCCAUCAACUUGUGCCGGACACGGACUCCACAUGAAAUCCCUCCUUUGCCACAUAAUAGGCAUCGAGUGCUCUACGGAAGCAUCCAAUCUCGCUGUUCUACCAACUUCGCCGGAACACCGACCACCGGUGCUCCACCUGAGGUUGUUUUCAACUGGAGACAAAUCAGUGUUAUUGUCAUGCAUCGAAGAAGAGCUCGACCUUAUUGCUAACAUAUAGAUCCGCUGAUGGAUUUAAGUUUUCAUUCACCAACUACUCAAUUCCUCGGAGAUGAGGAUCGUUCUGUAGCUCAUGUGAGUUCACUCUAUAAGCACGAUACAGCAUGCAUGCAUAUUUG
This is a long non-coding RNA of Triticum dicoccoides, 692 nucleotides long. RefSeq lists it as uncharacterized. The record is from RefSeq and is a predicted model, not a curated record. Lineage: Eukaryota; Viridiplantae; Streptophyta; Magnoliopsida; Poales; Poaceae. The transcript has 4 exons.